ACGCCACCAUGUCCUGCCAUGAUGAUAGUGGACUAAACCUCUGAAACUGUUUCCCCUCGGUUGACAGACACAACCAAGCAUCAAUUGCUGACUACCAAAUGACUAUGGACCCUGGACUUGCUAAAAACUGAUAUGGACCAGUCUAGCCAAUGUGAAUGCUCCCUGGCUCUUCAACAGAGUUCACAAACCAGAUGCUCCUGAUAAACACCCCAUUGCCUGAAUUUCCUCUUUGUUUCUGACUAGCAUUUCACCUGUUAGCUCUUGACAAAGCUGGAAGCAGUUAAAAGAAUAUAUUGUCCUAUAAUCCCUUUUUGAGAUGCUAAAUCAAAAGAAAACUCUUACAUAGGAAGACUCUACAGUUUUAGGAGAGAAAUUCUGUUUUUACACUAACCAUUCAGGAACUGUAAGAGGCAAUUUGGCCAAAGUUAGAGAAGGAUCGACGAAGCAGAAAAAAGAAUUAGACUUUUUACAAUGAUGGUUUGAAUCCUGGUUUAAUGGCUCUCCUUGGUUAACUACCCAUAUUUUUGCUAUUAUGGAACCCUUAUUGGUUUUGUUGCUUAUUUUGACUGUUGGCCCACGUAUAAUCGACAGACUGGCACACUUUGUAAAAUAAAGGCUUAAUACCAUUCAGCUUUUGGUUAAGCAUA
This is a long non-coding RNA of Myodes glareolus (Bank vole), 647 nucleotides long. RefSeq lists it as uncharacterized. Lineage: Eukaryota; Metazoa; Chordata; Mammalia; Rodentia; Cricetidae. The record is from RefSeq and is a predicted model, not a curated record.